This 1347-nucleotide ribosomal RNA is filed under the name metagenome. RNAcentral describes it as "bacterial LSU rRNA". It matches the Rfam family "Bacterial large subunit ribosomal RNA", at positions 1564 to 2925 of the family's 2925-position model. The record is from RNAcentral.
UGAGUACGAGCUGCUACGGCAGCGAAGUGGGUGAUGUCAAGCUUCCAAGAAAAGCCCUAUACCCGUUAAGGCAUGACGGCCUGUACCCGAAACCGACACAGGUGGGGUGGUAGAGAAUACCGAGGGGCGCGAGAUAACUCUCUCUAAGGAACUCGGCAAAAUGGCCCCGUAACUUCGGGAGAAGGGGUGCCACCGCAAGGUGGUCGCAGUGAAGAGGCCCAGGCGACUGUUUACCAAAAACACAGGUCUCCGCUAAGUCGCAAGACGAUGUAUGGGGGCUGACGCCUGCCCAGUGCCGGAAGGUUAAGGAAGCUGGUCAGCGUAAGCGAAGCUGGCGACUGAAGCCCCGGUGAACGGCGGCCGUAACUAUAACGGUCCUAAGGUAGCGAAAUUCCUUGUCGGGUAAGUUCCGACCCGCACGAAAGGCGUAACGAUCUGGGCGCUGUCUCGGAGAGAGGCUCGGCGAAAUAGAAUUGUCUGUGAAGAUGCGGACUACGUGCACCCGGACAGAAAGACCCUAUGAAGCUUUACUGUAGCUUGGUAUUGUGCCCGGGCUCUGAAUGCGCAGGAUAGGUGGGAGGCUUUGACCCAUUGCUUGUGGGUGAUGGUGAGCCACUGGAGAGAUACCACUCUUUCAGAGCUAGGGUUCUAACGGUCACCCGUUAUCCGGGGACCGGACAGUAUCAGGUGGGCAGUUUGACUGGGGCGUCGCCUCCUAAAAGGUAACGGAGGCGCGCAAAGGUUCCCUCAGGCUGGUUGGAAAUCAGCCGACGAGUGUAAAGGCAGAAGGGAGCUUGACUGUGAGACCUACAAGUCGAACAGGGACGAAAGUCGGCCUUAGUGAUCCGACGGUUCUGAGUGGAAGGGCCGUCGCUCAACGGAUAAAAGUUACUCUAGGAUAACAGGCUGAUCUCCCCCAAGAGUUCACAUCGACGGGGAGGUUUGGCACCUCGAUGUCGGCUCAUCGCAACCUGGGGCUGAAGUCGGUCCCAAGGGUUGGGCUGUUCGCCCAUUAAAGCGGUACGCGAGCUGGGCUCAGAACGUCGUGAGACAGUUCGGUCCAUAUCCGGUGCACGCGCAGGAACAUUGAGAGGAUUUCUCCCUAGUACGAGAGGACCGGGAGGAACGCACCUCUGGUGUACCAGUUAUCGUGCCAACGGUAAACGCUGGGUAGCCAUGUGCGGAGUGGAUAACCGCUGAAAGCAUCUAAGUGGGAAGCCCACCUCAAGAUGAGUGCUCCCAUGGCAGAAGCCAGUAAGGUCACGGGAAGAACACCCGUUGAUAGGCUCUACGUGGAAGCGUGGCAACGCGUGAAGCGAAGGAGUACUAAUAGACCGAGGGCUUGAC